Non-coding RNA from Arachis ipaensis, 2591 nucleotides. NCBI's taxonomy places the organism in Eukaryota, Viridiplantae, Streptophyta, Magnoliopsida, Fabales, Fabaceae. The record is from RefSeq and is a predicted model, not a curated record.
CUUCCCCGCGCCUCCACACCCUCCCCUCGAAAUGCUCUAUCGGUGGCGCUUUUCAGCCUUGCACCGCCGUCGCACCUUUCGCCACCGCCGCACCGAACCUCCAUUGCACUGAACUUCCAUUGCCCCGUCACACCCCUUCCCAGCUCUUCUAUGUGUGUUGCUCGCAUUGUUCCCUUUCGAACCCUAAUAUGCAUUUCUCCGCCACCGUCUUCGUCGCCUUCGUCUACCUUCGCAAUUUUAUAAAACUAUAGCACCGAUCGCUCAUUCAGCGGCACUAACCAUAACCAAUGGCGUCCGCCGAGCAGCCAUUGAAGAAGCAAAACCACGACACUCUCCCGGAAUCCCCACUGCCACACCACCGCCGCUAGCACCGCCGCCACAAUCUCCUCAAACCCUAACUCGUCCUCCUACUCCUCCUCCUCCGCCUCUGUCACAGGAUGAGGUUGUCACCAAGCAGAGGAACAAAGAUGGGGUUCGAACCAUGUUUGAGAGCUACCGUUGCAUCAAGCUCUUCUUGUCAAAGAAGGAAGGUGAUUUCAUCCAUGACCUUGAAUAGAGCUUCUUCGCUCUCGUAAAUGCUUCCAGAGGUCUAUGAACUGGACUUGAUAUUCAACUUCCAUAAGUUUCUCAGUGGAAUAGAGAAUUAGGGGAAUAACAAAGUACUUCCAAGUCUGCAAUGAUAAAAAGGUAGGUCAUUCAUAUUCUUUUGUUCUUUGACUUUAUUUGAUAAUGUUUUGAAUACUAAUUAAAAUGAAAAUCAAGACCUAAAACUAGAGCUUGUGAAACUAAAAAUGAAGCUAAAAGAGAUCGAGAAUUUCACACUGAUCAAAUAAGGAAUUAGCAGCCCUAUGGUAAGUGCCUUCCCUUCUAUGCAUUGAGGCUCUUUAUGAUUUCUAAAGCAUCUUGGUACCUACUUCCUCUGGCUUGGGCAUGGACAGGGACUGCAGUAACUGGGGCCAUGACUGUCCUUACAAAUCAUUUUCAAAGAACAAAUUAGUUGAGGACAUUGUUGGAACUCUAGUUUCUUUGUCACUAAUUUUUCCAAAUGAGCCAUGGCGAUUUAAGCAUGACAGACACCAUGCAAAGACGAACAUGUUGUAUGAAGAUAUUGCUUGGCACCCUGUUUGGAAAGAUGAGUUUGAUUCAUCUCCUGUUUUGCAAAAUGCAAUAAUAUAUUUCGAACUUGGAUUUCUAUAGCUCACUGGUUGAUGUGGCACUUUGAUUUGAAGAAGUUCAGGACAAAUGAAGUAAAGAGGGUCAAGAUAAGUUUAGCUUGUGUUUUUGCCUUUAUGGCGAUUGGAUGGCCGUUAAUUAUUUAUAAGACAGAAAACAUGCAAUGGAUUAAAUUCUGGUUCAUGCCAUGGCUGGGUAAUUUCACUUUACAUGUAAAAUUUGAUAUAUGGUUAUACCAUUGGAGUUGGUAACAUAGUUUUCAGUAUCAUAUCAUAUCAUAAGCCACACUGGUUAUUUUUUGAUAAAAGAUGAUCAUUUCAAUAGUGUUUAUAAAUUGUAAAAUGGAUACUAUUAAUUUAUUCUCAUAUAAUCUGACGAUCCCUUUUUCAGGCCUUUUCCUAACAUAUCUUGGGCUAUACUUGAUGAAAGGUCAUAGACAACCAGCACUUCUCUACCUUGUUCCAUGUACCUUAGUACUUUAAAAUUUUUGCAGCAAAAAAAGUGUAGUUCCCUUUCCACUUGAUCUAUACCACUUGAUCAAGAAGGCUGUCUCAAUUAGGAAGCACUUGGAGAGGAAUAGGAAGGACAAGGACUCCAAAUUCAGGUUGAUUUUGGUAGAGAGCAGGAUCCACCGCCUUGCAUGUUACUACAAGAAGACCAAGAAGCUUCCACCCGUAUGGAAAUAUUAAGUAUCAAAUAUGCAUUUUCUUUAAAUCACAACGGUUUCUUAAUGUGCUUGAACUUUUAUUUUGAUGACUAGACACCAGGAUGAUGCAUUUCAUGAGUACUUCCAUUUUUUAAAAUCCUUGUGGUUCCCUGAAUUGGGUUUUGUGUGAUUCAUAUUUUAAUUGUGCUGUUUGUUCAACUUCUUGCUUCUUAGGCUUAUCUGUGGAUUACGACCACAUACACAGAGAGUAGAAAAGGUGGUGGGGAUUGGCUUUCAACUUGGACUAGACCCAGGAAAGUUUGGGUGUUUGAGCUGUGUUUGUAACAUCCCAAAAUUGGGAGAAGAAGGACAAGCUGAGAAAGGAGCCAAGGAAGGAGGAUCUAAGGUUCUCGGCCAAGUUUUGCUGCAAACUAGCCACAUUCUCCCUUAAAGCUUCAUUUUUCAGCUUAAAAAAAGUAGGAUAUUCUUGUUUAAUUGAUUUAGUUGAAUGCAUGUGAUUGUAAGCUAAUUAGCAAGUAGGAUAUUCAUGCACUAUAUCUUACUCUAAUUACAUGUCGGCACUAAAAACAUCUAGCAAUUUGUUUAGCUUGGCUUGGCUUGGCAAAUAUACACGCUAAGAGAUUUCUUAUUCCAUAAGAUUUGACUACAUGCUCUUUUAAUUAAAUAUUUGUUUGUGAUGAAUUAUAGUUGAUGUAUCAACACACUUUGAUGUAUGGUUGUUACUUAAUAUUAUAGUUGAUGUAUUAAUACA